Molecule: ribosomal RNA, 1206 nt
Filed under: metagenome
Description: bacterial SSU rRNA
Rfam family: Bacterial small subunit ribosomal RNA
Source: RNAcentral
GGACGAUCAGCCACACUGGAACUGAGACACGGUCCAGACUCCUACGGGAGGCAGCAGUGGGGAAUUUUGGACAAUGGGCGCAAGCCUGAUCCAGCCAUGCCGCGUGAGUGAAGAAGGCCUUCGGGUUGUAAAGCUCUUUCGGUGGGGACGAAACGGUUCGUGCUAAUACCACGGACUAAUGACGGUACCCGAAGAAGAAGCACCGGCUAACUACGUGCCAGCAGCCGCGGUAAUACGUAGGGUGCAGGCGUUAAUCGGAAUUACUGGGCGUAAAGCGUGCGCAGGCGGUUUGUUAAGACAGAUGUGAAAUCCCCGGGCUUAACCUGGGAACUGCGUUUGUAACUGGCAAGCUAGAGUGUGGCAGAGGGGGGUAGAAUUCCAGGUGUAGCAGUGAAAUGCGUAGAUAUCUGGAGGAAUACCGAUGGCGAAGGCAGCCCCCUGGGUUAACACUGACGCUCAUGCACGAAAGCGUGGGGAGCAAACAGGAUUAGAUACCCUGGUAGUCCACGCCCUAAACUAUGUCAACUGGUUGUCGGGGAAGCAAUUCCUUGGUAACGAAGCUAACGCGUGAAGUUGACCGCCUGGGGAGUACGGCCGCAAGGUUAAAACUCAAAGGAAUUGACGGGGACCCGCACAAGCGGUGGAUUAUGUGGAUUAAUUCGAUGCAACGCGAAAAACCUUACCUACCCUUGACAUGUACGGAACCUCGCAGAGAUGUGAGGGUGCUCGAAAGAGAACCGUAACACAGGUGCUGCAUGGCUGUCGUCAGCUCGUGUCGUGAGAUGUUGGGUUAAGUCCCGCAACGAGCGCAACCCUUGCCAUUAGUUGCUACAUUCAGUUGGGCACUCUAAUGGGACUGCCGGUGACAAACCGGAGGAAGGUGGGGAUGACGUCAAGUCCUCAUGGCCCUUAUGGGUAGGGCUUCACACGUAAUACAAUGGUAGGUACAGAGGGUAGCCAACCCGCGAGGGGGAGCCAAUCCCAGAAAGCCUAUCGUAGUCCGGAUUGUAGUCUGCAACUCGACUACAUGAAGCCGGAAUCGCUAGUAAUCGCGGAUCAGCAUGUCGCGGUGAAUACGUUCCCGGGUCUUGUACACACCGCCCGUCACACCAUGGGAGCGGGUUUCACCAGAAGUAGCUAGUCUAACCGCAAGGAGGACGGUUACCACGGUGAGAUUCGUGACUGGGGUGAAGUCUUAACAAGGUA